UAAAAUAUACCUUAUACAUUAAGGUAUAGCGUUAGUAUUAUAUGUGCUAUACUCAAUAUUUGAACAAAUUUACUCUAUAGCACAUUGAGAGUAGUACUAGGAUGGGUGACCCCCUGGCAAGUCCUCGUGUUGCAUACCUCUUUAGAUCUAAGACAGAGUACCUGGAGUGCAAGUUUAGCGCCGAGCCGAACGAAGUAGGCAGGGACGUGAUGAUUGAUCUCAGGUCAUCGCCAAGAGGGACAGUGUCAGAUAUCUUGGAUCGGUGAUUCAGGGGGACGGAGAGAUUGACGGGGACGUCACUCUCUAAUGUCAGAUAUCUUGGGUCGGUGAUUUAGGGAGAUGGAGAGAUUGAUGGGGACGUCACUCACCGUAUAGGAGCGGGGUAGUCAAAGUGGAGGCUUGCAUCAGGAGUCCUGUAGGACAAGAAAGUUCCACAUAAACUCAAGGGGAAAUUUUAUAGAGCUGUGGUUAGACAGCCAUGUUGUAUGGGGCGGAGUGCUGGACAGUGAAGAACUCUCAUGUUCAGAGGAUGAAGGUUGCGGAGAUGAAGAUGCUCAGGUGGAUGUGUGGACUCACUACGUUAGAAAAGAUUAAGAAUGAAGUUAUUCGAGAGAAGGUGGGGGUGGCCCCGGUUGAUGAGAACAUGCGAGAAGCGAGGCUGAGGUGGUUCGGGCAUGUACGGAGGAGAAGUUCUGAUGCCCCGGUGAGGAGUUGUGAGCGGCUGGCGAUGCUCGGGUACGGCGAGGCAGAGGGAGGCCUAAAAGGUAUUGGGGAGAGGUGAUUAGGAAUGACAUGGCUAGAAUGCGGGUUUCUGAGGACAUGGCCCUUGAUAGGAAAGUCUGGAGGUCUAGUAUCAGGGAUAAAAGACAUAGAUGAAACAUGGAAUAAGGAAACACAUCUUUAAAUCUAAAUAACUUUGUAAAUUUAGAAACAUUUAUAAUGUCAUGAACGUGCAUAUAAAUAUCGUCACAUGCAUAGGUAUGAGUGUACAUAAUAUCAUCAAGCUACUGAGGGAAUCCUAUCAUAUCAUCUCAACCACUAUGGGUAACAUCAUCAACAUAUACUAGAUGAUUAGGUGGUGGUGCAUAUAUAACGUCGUAACUUUUUCCCAUAUUCCCUACACAUGUAAUUACACAUAUACGCGUAUGUAACUCCAUCUGGUCAUGGAUCACUGCACAUGUAUAAAUGAGUGAAAUGCAUGAAAAAUACGUAAUAAUAUCAAUAUUUCUUACGGAUAAACUUAUUCAACUGUUUAUUGUUUUGAGACUCAUGAAUAAAAGAUAAUAGUAAUUCCUUUGGGGGCCUCUCUACCCUUUCGGGUAGGGGUGAGGCUCGUCUACAUAUUACCCUCCCCAGACCCCACUUUGUGGGACAUUACUGGGUAGUUGUUGUUGUUGUAUAGCGCAUUUAAUACAUGUCCUAUAUAUACAGUGCAUAAAUUACGCGCUAUACUGAACUAUUGCCAUCCCUAACCAUUGAAUAGCUACUUACUUAAUGCAAAUAUUCAUGAGAAAACUAAUCUCUAUAGCCCCUCAAAAUUUUAGUUUAUGUUUUGUACCACUUACAAAAAAUAGUCCUUCGGCCCAAACAAAUCGCAUAUAGUAGCCGAAAGGAAUGAGCAUGACAAUACAAGUGCUUGUAGCUCAGUGGAUAGGGUGUGUAUUUCCUAAGCUGAAGGUCGCACGUUUGACUCCUACCUGGCGCAACAGAGCAACCCUUUUUUGCCUUUUUAAAUUGUAUUUUGUACUUCUGGAUUCUAAUAAUAUUAGCUAAGAAUUGAAUGGAAUAUGUAAUGCAUGUUAUAUAUGAUAUGUCUUUUGUAUAUUUUAUGUAUAAUAACCUUCUAUUUUUGUAUAUUUCUUGCAUAGUGACAGUCUAUUUUGUAUAGUUUUUAUAUAGUAACAGUCUAUUUUGCAUAGUGACAUUCUAUUUUGUAUGAUAAUGGUCUUUUUGUAUACCGUCAAUCUAUUUUUUAAAUAUUUUUUGCAUAGUAACAAUCAGUUUUGUAUAUUUUUGUAUAGUGACAGACUAUUUUAUAUAUUUUCCGUAUAAUAAAAGUCUAUUUGUGAGUGUGUAUAUAUAUUGUAUACAAAUUGUAUAAUGAUAGUCUAUUUUGUAUAAUUUUUGUAUAGUGACAGUCUAUUUGUAUAUAUUUAAACUUUGUGCAUAAUUAUCUCCUCUCAUUAAGAGACCAGCCACCGGUAUCCAUAGCAUCACAGUUGACGAAAAUGGUAAUAAGAUCGCCGGAUUUUUAAAGUUUCAGGAAAAGAUCUUCAAAAUAUUAAUUUCAUAUUCAUAGAAACUAUAAGAGAAAAUUAGUGGAAGAAGACAAGGCCAUGAGAGUCGUGGUUGGCAGAGUUGCUUCUUCAAUGACGAGGACAUCGGCAUCCAUGGCUUUACAAUCGCCAAAAAUGGUAACCACAAUAUUAUAAAAACAGUAAAAUUGUAAAUCAAUCAAUUAAUUAUGUCACAAAGCACAAACUAAUGGAGAUUUAGAAAAACCAGUACAAAUUAAAAUUGAAAAAAAAACACAUAUCAUCAGAUCCGACAUAGUAUUCUUCAAAAUACAACAUUCUCAUGGCUCAUAAGCAUUUCAAAUGUGUGGUCCACAAUACGAUGCAUGUUGUCUUAUCCAUAAUAGAUUUGUGAUCAUAAGUUUGUGAUAGCAAUAAAUUGGGGUCAUAGCAUAUUUGUAUUCAAAACCCAAAUAUAGCCCAAAAUCAUGAAUUGCAAACAAGAAUUAAAAUAUAAGAUGAAAUUUACAAUGGCUUUCAGAUUUUUGAGACCUGAAUAAAGGAUCCAAACCCCAAAAUACAAGAAAAACCAAAGAGGCUUUUUAAAGAGAGAGAGAGAGAGAGAGAGAGAGAGAGAGAGAGAGAGAGAGAAGAGAAAAGCGUCCAUGGAACCACAACCACGGGUUGCUAGCGUGAGAGAGAAGAAACAAGACAGUAAGGAAGAAAGAUAGGGAUGGAAGGCGGCGGCUAGCACUUAUCAUUAUAUUUAGGUUAUAAUUUAUAUGGGUCAAUUUGUGGGCUACCUGUUGAAAUUUUUUUUGCUCGAUGGACUAUAAAUGAAGUAAACAACCCUCUGUAGCCCCUCAAAUUUUUAAUAGCCCAUGUUUUGUACCACUUACAAAAAUUCGGCCCAAACAUAUUGCAUAUAGUAGCCCUCUAUGGAACCACAACCAUGGUUUGUUGGCGUGAGAGAAAAGAAGAAAUAUAAUAAGGAAGAAAGAUAGGGAUGGGAGGCGACGACUAACACUUGUCAUUAUUUUUAGGCUAUAACUUGUAUGGGUCAAUUUGUGGGCUACCAGUUGAAAUUUAUUUUGUCAGAUAGGCUAUAAAUGAAAUUCUUUCAACAUUCAUUCUUGAAAAGUUAUUCUUGAGUGAAUUGAGCCAAUUCACCUUUGUUCUCCGGCAUCCUAUAUACAUCACUUCAUCUUCAAUAUAUGCAUUUUUUCUUUGAAUCUUGCUAUAAUGUUUGACGAACGAAAAAUUAGGAUUGCAUUAUUGUGCGGUGAGAUUGUGGUGGAGAAUAACUCAAUACACUAUUGUUGUUCUCCACAUUGUAUUAUUAAGAUGCCACUCACAUUGGAGUACGACAAUUUAGUAUCACGGAUUUGUAAAAGAAUGAGUGUGAGUAAACGUUCGAUUAGUUUUAAGGUAACUGAAAAUAUAUGUAUUUGCUUACUCUUGUCAUACCGAGCUUAUACGUGCGACCUAAAAGGCAAUAGUUGUAAUCGACCAACUCCACUAAUCGCAGUCUCCUCGACCGGAAAGAAUCUUGUGAGCCUCUCCAGCAUUUCUAGACAGUCAUGCCUCAACUACUCUAUAAUCGCAAGCGUGUAGUGGACAACAAGACCACCAACGAGAAACCCAAACAAAACCUCCAUGUCCUGUAGUGUGAUGGUGGCCUCCAUGGUAGACAAAUGAAAUGUGUGCGUCUCUGGCCUCCAACACUCGAUCAUCACCGUGAUCAAAGGCCAAUUGAAUUGCAGCAGGCCGACCUUGACAACUCGAUAAAAACCAGUUUGGGUGGGGCACACAACUGUGCUGAUGUAGUGGGUGAUCCUUAAUAAAUUCUUAGAAGUCAUCAAUAUGUCUUGGGUGGAAGAUUUGGCUUUCCCAUCGAGAUGAGUUUAAAUGGUUGAACCAUCAUGUUGAUUUCUAUCAUGCAAUCCGUCUACGGGCUCGUUGUUGUUGUUUGGCCCAACAUUGAGUGAGUUGUUGACAUCAUUGGAUGCCAUAACUGUUUUAUGCUUACCACAGAAAAACUUCAAAAUAUGUUAGUAAAAGAUGAACAGAUCAAAAUAAUACUACAAUUGUCUAAGCCUCACAUAAGGGCACCAAACUGUUUACCUGUAAAACGGUAGAGUUUAAUUUGUAACAUGGAUAGACACGUGGAUUAAAUUGAUUUGAUAAAAUAAUGCAAUGAAGAACAAAGUGAUUAAAAUAAGGAGAACUGAAGAAAAGAGAAGCCUGAGCUUCAGAAUGUUCCCACCAGAAUCAAGAAUAAUUAAAAAUUUUUUGACUAUACUUGUGUAAAACUUGAGAGAAAGAAUACUAGUCUUUUGCAAUCAGUAUUUCUUGAUGUCUUACAAUGGGAUAAAAGCCUUCAUUUAUACUAGAGUUAUGGGGUGUAUGAUCUACAAAUUAUGCCCCCUUAGUCACCAAUAUUAAUGUUGCAAUAAAAGAUAAUUAAAAGGUGAUAAAAAUGAUAAAAGAUAAUAAAGCCCGGAGGAAUCUUGAGACUUUUGUAAUAUUUCUAUAACGGUCAUAUCUUGAAUUGUUUUUUGUCCAGUCACAAGUUCGUAUCUGGUGUCACCCUAGUUGAGCAACUACUGAUUGAUCAUCCUUAACACGUGUUCGCUUCCUAAUUCACCAAACUUCUGAGACCCGUUUUCACUGUAUGCAAUUUAAUACCUAGAGUUCAAUAUUUUACACAAGAUUCAACUUGGGUUAACUUAUUGCUUUACGGGAAAAAUAACAUUUAAAAGACCAAAACAAUCUUGAUUUCGUAUUUCCAUUUUUUAUUUACUGUAACAAGGGUAAAUUUGUGAAAUUUUGUAUUAUACACACUUACACAGUACAUCCAGCCUUUGAUGCAAUGAACUAAACAUCCGCUAAAUCAUUAGCACUAAGUAAUCCAGUGAUUAAUCCCCAUAUCACAACUCAACUGUGAACUCUGCAUAACUUUGUCAGCGAACCAAACAUCACUCUCCUUAGUGUCUGCCUCCCCAGCUUAGUGGGACACACGGGAGACCAUCAAUGCCAGACAUUAUAUACUGGCAUAACUUGCUCAUAUAGCAAAACAACCUGAUGCCACAAUGAAAGAGAAGCAGCACAUUGCGAUAGUUGCAGGACGAAAAUGGCCAUAACAAGAAAUCAAGAAUCAUUACUCUAAGGUGAAGGAUUACCGCGUGGUUAAUGCCCUCUUGAUUUAUCAGUAGUGUAUUCUGACUCCCUUGUGCAGAUAACCAAAAAAUCAACAUAACUCCUCCUGCUAUGGACUAUAAGCUUGUGGGAUCCUCAAAGUAGUCCUCACAAAGUGCUAAACUAAAGCAACUACAAAGCCCAUUUCUCCACCUCUUACAUCUUGUGUACUUAACGUGUUUGGACAUUCGAGUUAUAGGGUAACACCUCACACUUCGACAGUCAUCGUCUGUACAGAAUAUUACAACAAGACUUCAACAUGCCCAUUCUCAUCUGCCGGCAAGAUUAUAUAAUCAUAUAAAAAAGAAAGUGCUACCAUCUUUCGUCUCCAACCCAAUUGUUCUUCUCCUUUGGCCCAGUAGGGCCUUCCUCCUUAAACAAUUCCACUGGCAACUUACUAAAAAUAUUCUGCACUGAAUUUCGGACCAUCACUGGCAAGCGAUCUACAAUUUUCUCAAGCUCCUUUCUUGCGUCGUAAAUAAUGGUUGGACCCCACUCUCUCAUAUAUUGUAACCAACAUGGCUCACUGAUAGCUCCAUGUCCGAGAUACUCUGCUGCCAUAAUUUCAUAUUGGGUACUAGAAUCCACGAAAAGAUUACUACGGGCAGCAUCAUUUCUAAUUCCAAUCCCUACCUUUGAGGACCCUUGCAUGUAAUUUCCAGGAUGCGGAAAGCUAGCAUGACCAUUUUUUGAUGAAUAAACAGUAGCUUUAUUUCCUGCAAUAAACUCCAAAUCAUAAGCAUCCACCCAUUCACCACCGCUGUGCUGAGAAAAAUAGAUACUCCACAGCUCCCCUGUGAAAUUACUCACUCGAAGAGUGAAAUGCUCCCAGUCACCCACAUGCUGACCAAUUUUGCUAAGAGGAACAUUCACUAGGCCUACCUUCAGAGUGGCUGGCCCAUUGAAGGGGCAAAAUAUCCACAUCGCUAUAUCUGUGAAAGUUCCACCUAAGGCUGGCUUCACAUGAACAUAAAGUUUUGCACUCUGUAAAUUUCCAAACUUGACAAUCUCCUUUCGAACAUCGCUUGGCAAAUCAAUCCAAUAUUGGCCAUCAUUUGUCCCACCACCAGGUAAAUUGGAUCCGUCAGGCUCGAUAGGCUUAACAACUGAAUCACCUCUCGUGUAGAGCAAUGCACCGUUGUCAAAGAACCAUUGUACAGAAGAUGGAAGAUAGACCUCGUCUGGAUGGAAAAAUAAAGUAGGACCAUAGUGCCUAAUGAUCGCAUGAAUCUGAUCAAGGUUUGGCAUUGCUUGUAAACUCAUAUCAAAGCUCUUUAAGCAUGCAAUGCUUAGCUCUUCCCCCGUGCUCCAAUAACAACUGCAGAAAAAGGUACCAGCUGAUAUACCUUUCCCAUGCAUUCCUCUAUGCCGCGGUCUUAUGCUCCAAACUGCCAGUACUUCUGAAAGCACAGAGCUGGUUUUGAGUAUCAGGCGGUGAGUUUCACAUUCCUCAGUGAGGUCAGCUCGAACACAUUUAACUUCCCCUAGCUCAGGUUUAACAGGCUUAUUAGUCGCAAUGAACCCCAAGGCUUUAUAACCUUCAGGUGGUUGGGGUAACCAGAAGUAACCAGAUCCAUCAAAGUUUUCUUCACUUCCAACAUCAGUACUACUCCACACUAACGUGUAAUCUAGGGGAUCCUGAAGUGCAGGUAAACAAGGAUUUCCGUUGCAAUGAUCCCCUGCCUCAGGUUUAGCCACUUCCCGAGCAACAAGUACAUAUCCUCGUACAGGCUUGUUGUUAGGUUGGCAGUAGUGCCCAAGGCUAAAAAAUCCAUCUGGCACCCCCCUUGGUUUAUAAAAGCUAACACCCUGUUUCCGGUCUUGUGACAGAUUACAACCACAGACAAACUCAAACUUGCUAAUUUUAUGAACCUCCAAGUCCCCUAGUUUAAUUAUUCCACUAGCAAAUCCUGUAGCUGAACAUUCUAAGACAGAAAACGGAAGACAAAUUUGCAUUAGAAGUGUUCUUUUCUUAAUUUAUGUAGAAGCCAGGAAAUGAUAUAGGUUCUUAUGCAAUCCACUAACAUGAUUCUUACAGUCAAUUGAGGUAGAAGUUAAUUGCACGACCCAUAAACAGAUGCAUUAUAUCAUGUGACUCUGAAAACUAAUGCAAGUCCAAGAACAUAUAAUAUCUUCUCCCAGAAUAAGAAAGAAAUAGAAUAAGUAAUUCUUAAUUUUAACAACAUCCUGAUUUUAUAGUCAGAACUUAAUCAUGAAGAAAACUAGGUGCAUUGGAUAAAUAUUGAAACCAGUAACAUAUAAGAUUUUGUUGAUCAAACAAACCAUGCGGAACAAAUUAUUAUUAUUUUUAUUUUCCAGCUCAUUAUCUCGCUAUUGGUGAAUGCUGAUCAAUCAAAGAACUUCAGCAACAUCUUCCCAAACUAAGCAUACUUCAUUGACAGCUCUAGGUAUUAAAAAACUUGUAGGACCCUUUUAAGAGGGGAAAAUAGGAUAAAACAUGAAGCCAUGGCAUGAAAGAAACUACCAGUUAAGCAUGCGGCACACUCAAUAACAUGCUUGGAAAUUACAAUAAAGACUACAUUCUUUUCUUUACCAUGCUAAAAGAAUCAAAUGUUGCAACAACCUCAUGCAGCUUUAGCAUAUACUAUUCUUCUAUUGAACAGUACAGAAACAUAUCUAAAGUUGAUCAUUGCGAGCCAGUAAACCACACUGUAAAUAAGAACCUCGUGGAAUGCUGAGCCUAUUAGCUGAAGCUAAGAUAAAAAGAUAAAAGAUCUAAUACAUAAUCACGUUAUCGCAGCAUCCACUAAAAGCCCCUCUGGUAUUGAUGUGUAAUUUCUAAUGAACAAAAAGAUAUGUUCUUCUUUCCUUGUUUUCAAUGCAAAGUAGGCAUACAAAUUAUUGAAAGCAAUGGUCACAUAACAAAAGAUUAAACCCCACAUCUUAGAUCAAAAGUGCAGUUAUCCAGAAGGUUUAUAAGCAUUUUGUCAAAUCAAAAUGACUCCUUUAUCUAGAUUGCAUAUAUAGAUUAUCAGCAUAAAAACAGUCAAACUAUGAUUCAAUUAUGGCGCAGUUGAUUGAUUGAAUUGAACUUUAAAGUGGCUAUUUUACAACAAAGUUCUAAAAAUAACAAUUGACAGCCAAAAGAAACAUCAACAGGGAUUCCCAAUUGGCAUACCUUGAGGCCAUUGCGGGAGGGGUGCAGGCAGAAGAAAUGUGUCAGGUUCUGGAGAAGAGAGAUCUGAAAUUCUGCUCCAACGGAAGCAUUUGCACCCAAACAUAUUGCAGCCCAACGCACCCACCCCCUCUUUUUCUUUUCUUCUCAAUUCUCUCCCAACACCUAUUCAAAAUUAAGUGUUUUCUCCCGAUUUAGGUGAGUGCAUCUGUAUAAAGAUCAGUUUUUUAGAAUACCCAAUUGUUGUGGGAUAAAUCUUUAUGCAUUUAAUUAGUAGAAUAUUGUUUCUGGGAAUCAAUAGUUCCGUGUCUUUCUGUUACCGUGGGAUGUAGGAAAGAGAUUGGACGAUGAAUGACGACGUCAACUGUUGUUUUCAGAGUCCUCACCACUCGCCACCAUUUAAUAGGUUAUGGGUCCGCCUUAGUCAUUUAGAUCUAAUAUAGCAAGCUGGAUUCCCUCUGGGCCCACCUAGAGUUCAAUAUUCUUUAUUUCAUUCUAUGUUGCAGUUUGUUAUGGUAAAAACUAAAAACUUAAUGGUACAUAAUAUUUAUAUUAAAUUACUUAUUAUAAUAUAUAUAUAUAUAUAUAUAUAUAUAUAUAUAUAUAUAUAUAUAUAUAUAUAUAUAUAUAUUUGUUUCAGUACAUUACGGAUUGCUUUGAUAGCUUAAACAGCGUUAAAGAUCUGAACCAUUAUUUUAUCCCAUGUUUUACACAUUUAGCUAUUUCCUUAUUUAUUUUCUAUUCAAUGUUCAAUAUUUAUUUUAGGAUUCCACUCAUCCAGAUCAUUCACAGCGGAGAAUUUUACUUUGGGAAAUAUAACACCCGUUUACCAAAAAGAGUUUCAUUCUCGGAACUCGAACGCGAGAUCUGACUAAGAAUGGAAGGGUAUAUACAUCCAGAGACGGACACAAGAAAGAAUAGAAGGGUAUAUACAUCCAGAGACGGACACAAGAUUUAAUGAUCACGGGCAGGGGCGGAUCUAUCAUAUUUUACAUGGUUCACGUGAACCCGUAGUCCUCGGGUUAAAGUAUAGAUAUGAUGUACAUAAUUUAGCAAGAUAUAUAUAUAGAUAUAUAUAUAUAUAUAUAUAUAUAUAUACACACACUUGAUUGGUUUGAAAUGGUUUAAUAAAAGAAUCGGAAUCAGUAGUUUUAGGUAUAGUCACUGCCCCUGAAUUAAUCAACCAAGUAGAAGUUGAAGUUCAAUUGGAAUCUAUAUAGUCUAGUAGUUGUUUACAUCUAUGUCUGGGUUGCUGCCGUACUCAAAGGCGAGGGGCUACAGCCACAAAGGCCUUUGGUGGUCUUAUUGGCGCAUACCACGGUGGGGUCUUCGACCGGAGUGGACCGUUCGGAAGACGGAGGGCCUUAGAAACCCAAGAAGAAAAAACGCCAAUAUAGAAACAACAACUAAGAGGUAAGAGAGUGCCAUCUGCAAUGUUAACAGAAUCUUUGAUAGUAAAGGAGGCAGAUAAAAAGCCACUUAUUAACAGUUGAGGUAGGAGAUCCAGUUAAUGAAAUGGCACCAAAAUGUAUCAGGGCUGAAGUGAUUCGCCGAAGCGACAGAGAAAUAAGUUGUCCCCCCUUCUCUACCGCCGCCGCAUAUAUAGAAAAAUAAGGAGCGAAGAAGGAAGAACAAUUGCUUGACUGAUUGAUGGGACUUCUGUCUGAAAUCCCUUGACCUAACCUCUCCGUGACUUGCCGCAGCCAAGUCUUCCCCAACCUCUCCUGAUGUUCUUGGCAGUCGACCUUCCGGCUUUGUCCGUCGACAACUAAAUAUUUCGAUCUGGUUCGAUUCAUGAUCGCAUCUGCAAACCUUCUUGGAUGAGGGUUGUUUACCCGGGUGACUGGUCUCAUAGUUGUGAACUAUCAUCUUCCUUUUACAGCCAGAUAACUGGCAGAUAAGGCCCCAUGAAUUCCUAGACACAAAGAGAGGGUACGAGCUAAUCUUUUACUGGAGGGAAAGCUAGUAAAAAGCAUAGAGCGUGCGUGCUACGCUCUCGCCCUCCUUCCAUCCGCGAAAAUGAGGCGGGAGAAAAAGCGUAAGUCUAAGCUUUUUUAUUUCUGAUUUGAAUUUGAGAGGUAGAUGUUCAAGCCUUUACCAGGAUUUUCUAAGCUAUUUCGUUGACAACUGAUUCAAUUCAGAUCCUGCUCCUUUACAAUUUUUGGCCCCAUAUUUUUUGUGUGCCAUGGGACACCCCAUCUUCCGCAUAUCUUGCUCAUCCGACAUGGCAUGAAUCAUCGAACCUGCACUCAUGAAUAGUAAUGGUUUGAAAAAUGCCUUCUUGUAUUGACUAGCUCUUAGGCUACCGUUGACCGAGCCCUGCUUUGGUAUCUGGUUUAAUGGUUGUACAUGCUAAAAAUCUGGUACAUCCCGUUUUGUUUCUCAUCCCAGAUUUCACCGGCGUACCUGAGCACUCAUGCCUGCAGACCCCUCGAUUCUCUUUCUAUGACUACUGUGGAAAAGAAAGUCUCACUACUCAAUGGCUUUCGAUCAAAGCUUCUACAAAAAAGCUUCCCCCCCAUGUAGUUGUCGACCUUCCCCAGCCCCCCUCGUCUACGCUUUUAGAAACCUUACCUUAAAUGUGUCAAAUUUGAAGUAUCUCAUUAACAACCGCCACCCACAUGGUUUAGCUAAUUCAAUAGCCUUCGGAGAAAGGCGACAAGUACCACUGGACAAGCAGCAAUCAGGUAAUCGACCAAGUAAUCCACAUACAUGAUAAAAGAGCAUUACAACCCUAGUGUACUUAGUCGCAGCAGGAGAAGAACCACUAAACCUCUGAGAUCACUCGACCCCGAUGGGUCAAUCUCUUGUCAUUGCUAUUUCGUGCGCGAAGGGUUGCUCAUGCUUCCUAAACGUCACACAUUUUUUAUGCCAUUAGUCAACAGCUCCCUGUACAACGAAAUUGGGAUGACUUCACAUAGUUUCAUGACACGCCUAUCUUUGUUUUAGGGAAAUCCUCUCCCGGUUCAGGCGGAUGUCGCACCUUGCGCUUGUGAAUGAGGGUGGUUCACAAUUUCUUUGUUGAAUGCGUUGUUAAGCCCUACGUUUUUAUUCCAAUUUAAUUGCCCUUAUUCCGAAAGUCUAAAGUCCUUCAAAUUUUUACCAAUUCCGAGCUAUGCUUUUCAUGUUACCUUUAGCGGAAAACAUAAUGGACAAAUAAGGGAUAGGCAAGAAUCUGUUCUUGAACUCUAGAGAACAGGCGGAAGGAGGUUCACUAGAGCGAUAGGGAAAGCUUAUAGAGGGGUGGUCUUACUACGACAAAUAAAGUCAGGGUUCCCUUUGUUCGGUGUCCGGGGAAGAAAAAGGAAUCUAUUCGGGAAACGCUUACCAACCCCUUUAAUGAUACCAAGGGGAAGCAGGAAUUAGACCAAUAGGGUACUCCGCUCCGCCUAUCGUAACAAAAACAAAAGUCUCGUUCCCGCGGUUAAAACAAGACUUAUGGAUAACAACCAGACAUUACCAGGGACAGGGACCAGACUGUAGAGCUUAAAGGCUUAAUCUUGUUCCAGUUCCCAAGCGUUAUACCUUUCUUAUGGAAUGAUUCCAUUAUGGGAUUCCGCGCUUCGAAAAGUCUUUUUUGAUAUGUCUGUAAUAGCCUAUGUGUCCCAAAAAAGAACGUCCUACGCCCGACCCCCUUUUCAGUAGAUGAGAUAAUGAUGAAAGGGCUUUCUUUCAUUAACAUUCAGGAAGGUGCAUAGCUUCUUUGAAUGUCCCGCUGAUUGACUACUACAUCUAGGGACGGGACUAAUCCCGAAAGAGAGGUCUUUCUUUAUGGUUAUGAAAUUGAUUUGAUUGAAAAGCAAGUUGAUGAUACCAUAAAUCAAACGGGCGAGUGGGGCGAGAGUCCUUUACUUCACUCACUAGAGAGAGGGUAAUGUAUCCACGGCGAUCAAAACUCUUCCUUCUCUACUUCAAUGUCAAUUGAUUGGCGCAUUAACGAAGCUGUAACGGAGCAUGUAUGCGAUGCCAAAGCAGUAGCCUUUCUUUUAUGCGGGAUUACCUGUUUAUGCAAGGAAUAAGGACCGGCUUGAUGCUAAGAAGAAGCUGAUAGAGGAAUAACACCAGCUAAAUCAUCUACUGCAUAGUAAUACGUAUUAGGCAAAUGGGAUUUUUCUUUUCUAGGCUGAGGAGCGUAGUCAGAGGUCUUUGGUGCCUGAAUGCUUGACUUAGAGCUUGAACUAGGGGCAAUCCAGCAACCAUUUCAACUGGAUACCAUCAAGAGGGCAAGAGAGGAGGAGCCGAUGAAAUUCUUUCGGAGUUCUUCCCCGCUGACGUCUAAGCUCUCAAGGACUCGGAUUAGUCAACAGGAAUGAAAUCUAAGAAAGCUGGUAGCUCGAGCGAGGAGCGGAGCCUAGCCCUGGGAAAUUCAGCAACCAUUUCAACUGGAUACCAUCAAGAGGGCAAGAGGGAGGAACCGAUGAAAUUCUUUCGGAGUUCUUCCCCACUGACAUCUAAGCUCUCGAGGACUCGGAUUAGUCAAUAUGAAUGAAAUAUGAGAAAGCUAGUAGCUCGAUAGAGGAUCGGAGCCUAGCCCUAUAGUUAUAGGUUAUAUAAUAUUCUAUUUCCUCUGCUUUGAAUAGUUAGAACCAAACUCAUUGCUCAUUCAUUAAGAGCUCUUGUAGGUAAAGUAGACUAGAUCGAUCGAGAGAGAGAGAGCGAAUUGGCUUAUCGAGAAUCUGCUGGAGUCAGAUUAGUAUGGGAGUUCACAUCGGGACUUUCUUAAUAGAGAAAGAACCCAUACCCUGAACCGAGGAAAGGCGAUAACGACCCUUUAUCAUGGAGGCCAGUGUUGCCAAUGCAUCCGCGAACUUAUUUUUUCUCUGGGUAAUGGAGAGAAACUAAUUUUCUUGAAUUGCCCUUACCUUAAACCUUAAGUAGCUCACUGAAGGAAGUGUGAAAGUAAGCAAGCAACGGAAAGCAUGGGAGAAAAAAAGGAAGAUACGCAAUUUCUUUUCUAAGAAAGAGAUCAUAGUGAUUGAUGGCUCUUUCAAUCCACCGAAAUGGAAUGCCCUCUCGAAAAUAAAGAUUUGAAGUGGUCUAUAAUUUACUAAGUAAUCGGUAUAACUCACGCAUUCAUGUACAAACCAGUGUAGACGAAGUAACACGAAUAUCCUCUGGUUCUUCCCAUCUCUAGUACGGAUCAUAUCAUAGGAUCUCUGUAUGUAUGCGCUGAGGAGCUAUAUCUCCUGAAUUUAUUUUAAAACAAAAGAGGAAGCCCCAGAUGUCAACUUCUCUGAUGACGACCAAGAGGAGGAAGAUAUUUUCCAAUAGCGGUCCGGAUUCCCAUUCCUUUCUGCCAUAGUCUACACUUGUCCGUCCAAAUGGUCGAACUUGCCAUCAAGUUAAGUUGGGUCACUCGAUCCUUCUUCAAUUUUAGAGAGACUUUUGAAUUGUGUUCCUUAUUUACUUAGGUGCAAUACAUUUUCAAAAGCUUUUUGUCGAAACAGCCCCAAUUUCAAUCUGUGCUAGACAAAUCGAUAUAUCAAUAAUCAAGUCUUCAGUCAGCUGGUGGAAUACAUUGCAUCAACCUGGGAGUAUUAGCCGAUCUGGUACAUCAAUACAUGUUCCUUAAUUCUAUUCCGGCUAAUACAUGAAGGAAUAGCCGAUCUUAAGUAGAGUGAGUCUACUUAGCAAACUGGCUUGAGGUUAUCUCCGCUGAUUGAUUGAAGAUUGAAUCAUUCCUCAUUUUAUUCAGGCUAUUCCUUUCCGAUGGUUGAUUUAUUCAUGAACAUGACCAAAUAUCUUACGACACGAGAUGACGACCGGUCUGUGAUUGAGUGAUAGAUUGAUCGACGACGGAACGAAGAACGAAACUUUCCGACAGUUGUUUCGGAACUAUUGCUUUUGUCUUUUCUUUACUCUUCCUCCAUCAUCUCGACACCUGUCCACUCAACUUUGAUACCCGAAUUUCUUGCGUAUCCACCCUGAAAGCGAGAGCUCGAGGCAGUGCGAAAGGUUGGGAAAUAGUACGCCUGGUUCACCAGGUUAUACCACUGCAGGGCCUCUGUUUGUGCUUAGUCCAUUUUAAAGGAAAGAUGCAAGAAGACUCUGCAGGUGCAGGAGUAAAGUGAUCCCCACCCGGAAAUCACGAACAGAGUUGUCGUCUUCCUUUUUCUUUCACUUACUGACGUGUCACGUCCCAAAGUCGAGGGGCAUGACCGGCACCCGACCGGGUAGCCCCAAUCGAGCGGAUCUGUGUGCCUUUACUAUUCCCCAUGCGUUACCCCACAUUAUUCCUUGUUAAUAGCCAAAAGAUACCAAAUUUCAAUUAAAAGUAAAUAGGAAUUCUCUUUUAUAAGCACACAUAAUGAUUAACAGGGAACAUGGUGUACAAACUUCAGCACCCAAGACAUACACCUAUAUAAAUAAGUUCUAACCCACAUGACACUGUCUACGGAGCCUCUAGGAGAAGAUAAUACAACACUUGCCGGCGACAAGGCCCCGGCUAUACCUUUGCAAUGACAUCACAAAACUACUAUAACAACAACAAAGGUAACAUGAACCAUGCAGGGCCCCAGAAGGAGAGGGGCUCACCAAUAUGUACAUAAUUGAUAGAAAGGAGGAGGAGCUACAUAUGGCAGAAUGGCAACAACAGAGGUGGCCUGAACCACGCAGGGCCCCAGAAGGAGAGGGGCUCACCAAUAUGUACACAUAUGAUAGAAAGGAGGAGGAGCUACGGACGGUGGACUAGAGUGCUUGCCACGGAUCCACCUACAAUCAUAACACGAAUGUAGCGCCCCAGCAAAAGGGAUGUCAGUACAUUUGAAUUGUACUGGCAUGUAUGAACAAACUCUGUCCCAAGUAAACUCAAGCCAAAAUCCAUAUACAAGUAUAAAACUGAACAACAAUAGUACAACCAUGGAGCAACAACCAAACAUUUCAUAGCAAAUGAUACAUUAGUCAAACAAAGGGCAAUCAGUGCCCCACAUGUUACAAACUCUCCUGCUAUCUCCUUUCACAAUUCCUCAUUGAUCAUUUGAAGAUUUUGUAUUCAUAUCAAUAGUGAUAUUGUAUCACAUUUUCCACCCUUAUUACCUCGUCCACCCUUAUUACCCCGGCCACCCUUAUCACCCUAACCCACACCUUAUUUCACCAUGUUUCGGCACGUAACUCGACCCUGCCUGACAGCUUCAGUUCACAACAACAUACAACACAACAACAAUUACAAGAAAUCAACUAUAGCACAUUGUUAAGAUAGAACCACAACAAGGGUAAUGUAUUUCCACAACUAGAAACAACAAUUUUCUCAUGUUCAUCAACUUUGUACACAAUUUGGGUUACCACAACAGUUUUUUCACAACCAAUCAUACACAUUGUUCACAUUAUUUCUAUUUCCAUAAUUCCAAACUCUUUCAAUACAAGUUCCUCAACUUCCACCACAAAGUGUUACCACACAAGUAUACGUCACAAGAGUUUCACAAUGAUCCCCACAUGAAUGUCAAUUAUCAAACAAUUUCACAAACUAACACAUGGCGAUUUCACAAUGAUCAUAGUUAGCCAUACAUACUUGAAGUUGAUUAUCCCCUUCAAACCUCUAGUCCAAUUCGCCAAGCAAUCUAGAAGUCAAUCUAGUCCAUGAGUAACAUUUAGGUUUUAGAAAUUAAACUCGUAGUCAUUACCCAAUUCCUUGUUUAGUAAGAUUAUAGGGUUUUAGGAGCAUGCAUGAGAGUUUUAUGAAGAAUUUCAAAACAAGUGUAUGGGGUUCCCCUCCCAAACUUAAAUUUUGAAAUUUGGGGAAAUGGGUUAGGGAUUUACCUGAGAAAUCAGUAGAGAAGACAAUGCACCAACACCCUCCCAAGCUUAAAUUUUGAAAUUUGGGGGAAAUGGGUUAGGUAUUUUACCCGAGAAAUCAGUAGAGAAGACAAUGCACCAAGAAUUUUCUGAGCUCUAAUGGUUUUGAAAGACUAGAUGAUGAAGAACUUACUUUCUCUCUUAAGAUCCCUCUCUUAUUUUAAUCACAAAUGUAAUAAAAAUGAGGGAGAAGGUGUUUUAAUAAAAGGUGGGUCGGUCCGCAGAAUGGACGCAGAAAUGGCUCAAGUUUCGGACCUCUAGGAUUAGGAAUGCGGUAUAUAUGCAGUGUGCAUUCCUGUUCUACGGUCGCAUAAUGCACCGCAUAAUUGACCUUCCAAUUUCUUCAAGGACCAUAUGCGAUCAAUCUGCGGUCCGCAUAUUGAUUAUGCGACCGCAUAUCUGACCGCAUCUUUGACAUCAAAAAUUGGUUGCUCUUUGAUUCAUUAUGCGGUAGGAAUGCGGUCCGCAUAGGUGAUCUGUGACCGCAUUCUGGACCGCAUUUUGAAAAUUUUCUAGAAAAAUUUUGAUUUCACAUUUUUAAGUGCAAAACGGCAAAAAGGAUCUGAUCCACGUAGGUAGACUCGACUCUAUGAGCUGCUAACAUCUGAGCACUCAUUUUCACGGGGCCUUACAUCCUCCCCCGCUUAAGAUCAUUCGUCCUUGAAUGAGGACUCGGGGACCAAAUGAGUUGAAAAUAUGAUAUGCAAGUUCCUACACUUUUAUUAACUUUCAAGUUUGUUUUAGAAAAAUUUUGUUAGAGUCUCCUUUGUAAUAUGGACAUAACCACCUGUCAAAGAGCCUCCAAAACUUAUUCCCAAGUAUUACUACACAAACUUUCUACCUUUACAACAGUAUAAAAAUGUACGAUCUUCAUACUUGCACAUAUUUAACCUCUCGAUAAACUUUUUAACUAUUUUGGCACACUACAUGUAAUCAAAUUAAGCAUUAAUUGUCUGUACUAUUAAAACCAUUUACCUAUCACAAGGGUAUGACACAAUUAUUCAUUUCAAUUCGAUUCCUCCAUGCAAAACUAAUCAUUAGACGAUUAGAACACUUUGAUACACCAUUUCCACGCAAAAUUAAUUAUUACUUCCAUACAUCCCCUUACCAUGGGAGCACAAAACUUUCAUUACCAAAAAGGAUUGCACAUUGCUCAAAUAGAGUUAGCACAACUUGGAGAAACUACAAUAGCAAGGCACUUGGGAAGAGAAGGAAGGUUUCUUACACCUAAUGGGACACAACGCUAGUUCUCCUAGGGACAAGAUUCGCAUGAUCAUUCCUAGACUUACUCAAAUAGAUGGUGAUAUUUUAUCUGCAUCUCAUCCUCUGCUUCCAUUCUCCUAUGGACAAGAUUCGUACGAUCAUUCCUAGACUUACUCAAAUAUAUGGGGAUAUUUUAUUUGCAUCUCAUCCUCCGCUUCCCACGUUGUUUCCUCGACUUGCUGGUUUUGCCAGACCUCCUUAACUGAAGUAAUCUCCUUGUUCCGCAACUUUCAUACCAGCCUAUCCAGAAUAGCAACCGAAAUCUCUUCAUAUGAUAACUCUUCUAUAACCUUGAUGUCUUCCACGAGCACAAUUUUAGAUGGAUCACCCACAACUUUCCUCAACAUGGAUACAUGAAACACCGGGUGCACCAAUGACAUUUAUGGGUGCAAUUUCAACCUAUACGCAACUUGACCGAUCCUUUGAGUGACUUGAUAAGAACCGACAUACCUAGGACAUAGUUUUCCCUCCUUCCCAAAGCGCAUGACUCCCUUCAUACGGGACACCCUAAAUAAUACCCAAUCUCCUUUUGAAACAUCAAUUCUCUUCGACGCACGUCCGCAUAGGAUUUAUGGUGACUUUGAGCAGUAUUCAUCCUCUCCUAAAUGAUUUUUACCUUCUCCAUGGCCUGAUGCACGAGAUCUGGGCCUAUUAAUUCUGCUUCACCAACCUCGAACCACCCGAUCGGGGACCUACACCUUCUUCCGUACAAUACUUCGAAUGGGGCCAUCUGGAUGCUAGCAUGGAAGAUGUUAUUAUAAGCAAAUUAUAUAAGGGGCAGGUGAUCAUCCCAAUUACCUAUGAAAUUCAAGACACAUGCCCGCAACAUAUCCUCAAGCGUCUGAAUAGUCUGCUCUGCUUGGCCAUCGGUCUGCGGAUGAAAAGUCGUGCUGAGGUUCACUUGAGUACCCAAACCUUGCUGAAAUUUCCUCCAGAAGUUAGCUGUAAACUGAGCUCCUNNNNNNNNNNNNNNNNNNNNNNNNNNNNNNNNNNNNNNNNNNNNNNNNNNNNNNNNNNNNNNNNNNNNNNNNNNNNNNNNNNAACUGAGCUCCUUGAUCCGAAAUGAUAGAAAGUGGCGUACCAUGAAGCCUCACUAUCUCCUUGAUAUACAAACGAGCAUAUUGUUCCGCAGUAUCGAUGGUCUUGACUGGAAAAAAGUGAGCUGAUUUGGUGAGCCUAUCCAUAAUUACCCAAAUUGAGUCGAACUUGUGCUGAGUACGAGGUAGUCUUUUCACGAAGUCCAUAUUGAUCAUUUCCCACUUCCACAUAGGUAUUUAUAUAAGUUGAGUCAACCCUCCCGGCCGCUGAUGCUCGCCCUUUACUUGCUGGCAAUUUGGACACUUAGAGACGAAGUCAGCCACACUCUUAUUCAUACCACUCCACCAAUAAAUAUCCUUGAGAUCGUGAUACAUCUUUGUAGAGCCCGGGUGCACUGAAUACCUGGAAUGAUGAGCCUCUGCCAUUAUCCUCUCCUGAAGAAUACCCACAUCUAGGACACACAACCUGUCAUGUCACCGUAGACACCAUCAUUGCUGCCGAGCGAAAAUGCAAAAAUUAUGUUGCUUAGAACUGCCUCCUUCAACUGUGCCAAUGCUGGAUCAACAAACUACUUUUCUUUAACCUCUGUCACGAGUGACGAUACCACUGUAUUAUGCACCCUCAUGGCACCGUAAUACACCAUCACUGCUGCCGAGUGAAAAUGCUAAAAUUUUGCUACUUAUAGCUGCCUCCUUCAAUUGUGCUGAUGUUGGAUCAAUAAACUGCUUUUCUUUAACCUUUUCCACGAGCGACGAUUCUGCUGUAUUAUGCACCAUGGGUUCCUCCUCAUUCAGGGCCGAGAUACAAAUCCCAAGGCUAGCUAACUGGCGUACCUCCCGAGCUAGGAGCCUCUGAUCCGCUCUCAAGUGAGCCAAGCUACCCAUAGAUUUUCGAUUGAGGGCGUCGGACACCAUGUUCGCCUUUCCUGGAUGGUACAAGAUGUCCAUAUCAUAAUCUUUAAGCAAUUCUAACCACCACCACUGCCUCAAAUUCAGCUCCUUCUGCUUGAACAAAUAUUGAAGACUCUUGUGAUCUGAAAAGCAAUUCCAACCACCGCCGCUGCCUCAAAUAUAGCUCCUUAUGCUUAAAUAAAUAUUGAAGACUCUUGUGAUCUGAAAACAAAUCUACAUGAACCCCAUAAAGAUAAGGCCGCCAUAUUUUCAAGGCGAACACAACUGCUGAAAGCUCCAGAUCAUGCGUCGGAUAAUUCUUCUCGUGAUUCUUGAGUUGCCUGGAAGCAUAUGCUAUGACCUUCCUAUGCUGCAUCAGAACACUCCCUAGCCCAACCCUGGAGGCAUCACAAUAAACUACAAACCCCUCUGUGCCUUAUGGCAAAGCCAAUACUGGUGUCGAAGUCAACCUUGUCUUCAAUUCUUGAAAACCUUUCUCACAAGCAUCUGACCACUGGAACUUGGCUGAUUUCUCUGUCAAUUUGGUCAAUGGAGAGGUGAGGAUGGAGAAUCCCUCUACAAACCUCCGAUAAUACCCUGCUAACCCCAAAAAGCUACGGAUCUCCAUUGGGGUCGUGGGCCUAGGUCAAUCCUUCACCGCUGCAAUCUUUUUGGGGUCCACCUGAAUCCCUUCACUGGAAACAACAUGACCCAGAAAAGCGACGGAGUACAACCAAAAUUCACAUUUGGAGAAAUUGGCAUACAAUUGGUGCUGACGUAGAGUCUGCAAAACCGCUAUGAGGUGGCUAGCAUGAUCCACCCUGCUCUGUGAAUAUACGAGGAUGUCGUCAAUGAAAACAAUCAAGAAAAAAGUUUAAAAAUGACUUGAAGACCUGAUUCAUAAGAUCCAUAAAAGCUGCCGAGGCGUUGGUUAGCCCAAAGGACAUGACCAAGAUUCAAAGUGGCUAUAACGCGUUCUGAAAGCGGUUUUAGGAAUAUCCUGCUCCCUGAUCUUCAAUUGGUGGCACCCGGACCGCAAAUCAAUUUUGGAGAAGAAACUUACACCUUGCAAUUGAUCGAACAAAUCAUCUAUCUGAGGCAAAUGGUACUUAUUUUUUAUGGUGCCUUUAUUAAGUUGCCGACAAUCGAUACACAUCCGAAGCGACCCAUCCUUCUUUUUGACAAAAAGAACGGGAGCACCCCAUGGCGACACACUUGGCCGGAUAAACCCCUUCUCCAAUAGAUCCUUCAGCUUCUCUUUUAACUCUCGCAACUCUGCUAGCGCCAUUCUGUAUGGUGGAAUAGAUAUUGGCUGGGUAUCUGGCAAUACAUCAAUCCCGAAAUNNNNNNNNNNNNNNNNNNNNNNNNNNNNNNNNNNNNNNNNNNNNNNNNNNNNNNNNNNNNNNNNNNNNNNNNNNNNNNNNNNNNNNNNNNNNNNNNNNNNNNNNNNNNNNNNNNNNNNNNNNNNNNNNNNNNNUCACAACUGGCACGGACUCGGGGGCAGGUACCUUUGGAGUAGUGUCCGCCACCCGGACUAAAUGAUAGAUACACCCCUUCCUGAUCAUCUUCAAAGACUUGAUGUAGGAAAUAAACCUACCCCUCGGCACAACGCCAUUUCCCUUCCAUUCAAUAACCGGCUUAUUAAGGAACUCUAGUCUCAUGACUCUCGUGCAUCAAUCAAGUUUAGCAAAGCACGAAUAGAGCCAAUCCAUCCCCAUGAUUACAUCAAAAUCCACCAUCCCAUGCUCGAUUAGGUCAGCCGUGGUAACACGACCACCUACCAUAACAACACAAUUCCUAUAGACCCACACGGUUGUAAUAGAAUCACCAACCGAAGUCGAUACAGAGAACGGCUCAAGAAGCUGCUCGGGUUCAAUCCUAAAACUCGAAGCAACAAAUGGAGUGACAUAGGACAAAGAAGACCCCGGAUCAAUAAGACCAUAACAAUCAAUGGUCUGGACAGAUAGGAUACCUAUGACAACAUCUGCGGAAGCCUCAACACUCUGACGGCCACUCAAUGCAUAUAACAUGCUGGGUCCGCCCCUACCACGAGCUCCAGCUCUGGCUGCACCAUACCCUGCUGGGCCUGGAGGGCGCACUGAUGCCGUAGCAACUGAUGAACUGGAUGGCUGAGCAAGUCCCCUACUCGUGCCCUGUCUGGGUGCACGGUAGUCCCGCUGUAUGUGACCUCUCACCCCACACUCGUAACACACUGGAACAUCCAAGUAACAUGCCUCUGUAUGAAAUCUCCCACACUUGGAACAUAUACCUCCCUGUUGCCGAGGUCUCAUCCCCGAAUGACUGAACUGGCGGGACCUUCUGCUGUCUAAACCUAGCCCCGAAGGGCUACUCUGCUAGUAACGGUGCACAUAUGGAGGUGCACUGGCUGAGGACUGAGCAUAAGAUUGAGAUGGUCCUGAUAACCCUCUCCCUAGAGCUGACCUCGCUGGGUGACCCAUAGACCGGGCCCUACUACUACUCUCCCCGUCUGCCCGAAUCUUCAACUUCCUGGCCUCUGUAGCCUGAGCAAAACCCACGAUCUUCCCAUAGUUUAUGUCUAAAUGCAAAGCCGUUGUAGCAGCCUCAUUUACCACCAAAGGGCUGAGACCCUGAGCGAAUCACCGAACUCUGGCCUCCGUAGUCGACACCAACUGAGGAGCAUACUUGGACAACCUCACGAACUCCAUAUGAUACUUCUUAACACUCAUGCUACCCUGCUUAAUAACCUCAAACUCGGUUGCACAGGCUGCCAUGGUCUCGGCAGGCAAGAAGUGGUCCAUGAAGGCAUCUACGAAUCACCGAACUCUGGUCUCCAUAGUCGAUACCAACUGAGGAGCAUACUUGGAUAACCUCUUGAACUCCGUAUGAUAUUCCCAAACACUCAUGAUACCCUGCUUAAGAACUUCAAACUCGGUAGCACGGGUUGUCAUGGUCUCGGCAUGCAAGAAGUGGUCCAUGAAGGCAUCUACGAACUCAUCCCAUAUAGCUGGAGGUCUCCCCUCCUCACGGGAAUCCUCUCAUAUCUCAAACCACGAACGCGCAGCUCCCUUCAACCUGUAUGAAACCAAUUCUACCCCUUCUAUCUCUGUAGCCUUCAUCACUCGAAGGGUCUUGUACAUCUCAUCAAGGAAUUCUUGCGGAUCAGCCUCUAGGUCUGUGCCUGAGAACUCUGGAGGGGACACUCGCAGAAACUGGUGAACUCUAGAGCUAGAGGAAUCUCCCUGUCCGCUGGAGGACACAGGGACAUUAUGAGAUAUCUGGGCCUGGGCGGCCACUAACUGGGUCAACAUGCGGAUGGAUCCCAUAUGGUCUCCACCAGAAAUCCCGGGAUCGGAAGCUGGAGCAACAUCAGGAUUAUGAGCAUUGGCAGGAGGGAUAGUGGCACCCUCGCCCGCUGCUGGAACAUUGUUGCUUGGAUCAGGAAGGGAUGGAGCAUGCAAAUUCAUAACUGGGGAAUCACUCUCACCCACGGCAGUCGGCACAUGAUCCACAGCCGCAGUGGUAGUGGCGUUGGCUCCUAUGCCAAGUCUAGCUUUCUUUUUGGGUGCCAUUACUGAAAAUUUGAAAUAAAGCAUGAAUUAGACACAACAUCACUUCAUCGCACGAACUUGGAAUAACAAAGAAGUUUUUCCUAAAUGCCUGUGUAGCCCCCAACUUAUAGAUGUGGUCGACAACACACAUAUAAGAAGGGCUCUACUAGGCACGGCUCUGAGAUAUCCUAGGACUCCUUAAAAGCUUAGGCUAUGAUACCAAGAUUGUCACACCCCAAAGCCGGGGGGCAUGACCGACGCCCGACCGGGUAGCCCCAGUUGAGCGGACCUGGGUGCCUUUACUAUUACCCACGCGUUACCCUACAUUAUUCCUUGUUAAUUAGCCAAAAGAUACCAAAUUGCAAUUGAAAGUAAAUAGGAAUUCUCUUUUAUAAGCACACAUCAUGAUUAACAGGGAACAUGGUGUACAAACUUUAGCGCCCAAGACAUACACCUAUAUACAUAAGUUCGAAACCACAUGACACUGUCUACAGAGCCGCUAUGAGAAGAUAAUACAACACUUGCCAGCGACAAGGCCCCGACUAUACCUUUGCAAUGACAUCACAAAACUACUAUUGCAACAACAGAGGUGGCCUGAACCACGCAGGUCCCCAAAAGGAGGGAUGCUCACCAAUAUGUACACAACUAAUAGAAAGGAGGAUGAUCUACGGACAAUUGACUGGAGUGCCAUCCACGGAUCCACAUACAAUCAUAACACGAAUGUAGCGCCCCCCGGAAAAAGGGACGUCAGUACAUUUGAAUUGUACUGGCAUGUAUGAACAAACUCUGUCCNNNNNNNNNNNNNNNNNNNNNNNNNNNNNNNNNNNNNNNNNNNNNNNNNNNNNNNNNNNNNNNNNNNNNNNNNNNNNNNNNNNNNNNNNNNNNNNNNNNNNNNNNNNNNNNNNNNNNNNNNNNNNNNNNNNNNNNNNNNNNNNNNNNNGCCAAACAUUUCACAACAAAUGAUACAAUUAGUCAAACAAAUGGGCAAUCAGUGCCCCACAGGUUACAAACUCUCCUGCUGUCUCCUUUCAUAAUUCCACAUUGAUUUCAUGAUUUUUUUAUUCAUAUCAAUAGUGAUAUUGGAUCACAUUUUUUACCCUUAUUACCUCUUCCACCCUUAUUACCUCGGCCACCCUUAUCACCCCAAUGCACAAUUUAUUUCACCGUGUUGCGGCGCGCAACCUGACUCAGCUGACAGUUUCAGUUCACAACAACAUACAACACAAUAACAAUUACAAGAAAUCAACUAUAUCACAUUGUUAAGAUAGAACCACAACAAGGGUAAUGUAUUUCAACAACUAGCUAUAACAAAUUUCUCAUGUUCAUCAACUUUGUACACAAUUUGGGUUAUCACAACAAUUUUUCACAACCAAUCAUGCACGUUGUUCCAUAAUAUUUCCAUUUCCAUCAUUUCCAAACUCUUUCAAUACAAGUUUCUCAACUUCCACCACAAAGUGUUACCACACAAGUAUACGUCCCAAGAGUUUUACAAUGAUCCCCACAUGAAUGUCAAUUAUUAAACAAUUUCACAAACUAACACAGGGCGAUGUCACAAGGAUCACAGUUAGCAUCCAUACCUGGAGUUGAUUAUCCCCUUCAAACCUCUAGUCCAAUUCGCCAAACAAUCAAGAAGUCAAUCUAGUCCAUGAGCAACAUUUAGGUUUUAGAAAUUAAACUCGUAGUUAUUACGUCACAGAGCUCUCAACUGAGUUGUUUAGGUUCUGGAAUUUCAUAUGUAGUUGGGGAUUUCGAUUCGAAAAAAAAGAGAUACCACUUCCUGAUGAAUUACGUACGCAGAUUGUUCGUCCACUUCAAACGCUCAAAACCGACCAUUUUCCGUGUGAAAUGACAUGGAUUGGUUUGGUUACUUAGGGAAUCCCAAGCAAGCAGAGACAAGUGCACCAAGGGAUGCUGGUUAAGAAGGGUUCUGUUUGAUUUUAUAACCUGUUGAAGGUGAGCCUAUCGGCAAACUAAUUUUUCUUUCCUAGGCUGAGGAGCAUAGUCAGAGGUAUUUGGUGCCUGAAUGCUUGACUUAGAGCUGGUGCCACCUAAACGGUAGGUAUGCGGCAAAUGUGUGACGUUUGGAGUUGUCGUUCGUGCACCUGUCCCCAAUGGAAGAGGAAGUCGAUGAGAUAAGGGGCGAAAGAUAUUCAUGAUAUUCAGAAAGAUUUAUGUUCAUUGAUGGAUGGAUUUGAAAGCAAGUGAAAGAACUAGUUGCAUAGAUAUAAAUAUAGAGAAAGUCCUUUCUCGCUUAGUCCCGCUAUAACUUAACAGCCAAAAAGCUCUGCGUCGAACUUAAGCCCCUUCGAGUUGGCCACAAGGUAAUAGCCUCUGACGCUCCACACCAUUGCGACAGGAGGGGGCUUGCCUAUCAGCCUACUUUGCCAAGAGGUGGCAGGAGCGCAGGGAAUUACGCUUUUUCUCCCGCCUCAGCUUCGCGAAUGGAAGGAGGGCGAGAGCGUAGCACCCUCCAAUCUUAAAAAAACUGAUGGAAUGCGAUCUCAUAGGCAGUUUCCUAUGAGCGUUACAAACCAAUCUCACAUAAUUCACGACGAUGACGAACUGUGAACCUAUAUCUUACUCUCUACUACUCGAACCAGGUACUGGUGAGAGCAAUAUAUAUAUAUUAUUACUCUAUUUACUUAAUCACGAGUAAGUAAUAAGUUUCUCACUUAAAUUUUUAAUUACUCAGGCUACAUUGAAGUUCGACAUUCAUAAAGAAUUAAGUAUUCUGAAUUUAAACUAAGUAUAUGAAGUUGGAAUUGAUUGCCUUGAAAUUCGAGUUGAUUAUUUGAAGUUCAAAUAAUUUUUUCUUGUUUUAUUUUGAUAUUUUUAAUUUUGUUUUGUUUAAGAUUCAAGUAGUCUAAAAUUGUAAAUAACAUAAUUUUUUUUUGUUAAUUUUUUAACAUGAAAGUUACAGAGUUUUUUCAUUAGAUGCAUCCCACUCUAAAAAGUUGACAUUUUGGCAUUUGUCCUUUUUAUUGAAUACACACAAUUUAGUUAUUUUAAUUCAAGAAGUACAAUAUGUGACUUUAUUAUUAUUUUAAAAUUCAAUAAAUGAAACCUGAAUUACCAUGAAAUUUCAAUUUAACCUAAAAAAGUAAUUUGGUACAUAUUUUAAAGGAUUGGAGGAAAGGCCCCGCUAAAAAAAAUAAAAAAAUAAUAUAUAGUGUUUACACAAAGUACCCUUCGACCCUAGGAAAAUAGUGCAAGUACCCCUUGGCAAGCCACCCGCGCCAAAUAGGCAGACAACCGCUUCAUUUUAUUUGCCCUAAUCCUUCUCUUUUACCUCCAUAGCACUGAAAAACCCCUAAAGUCAGAGAGAAAACCUCUGCAGCUUUUGUCGAAAACACCUCUCGGAACUCUUCGUCGACGCCUCGAUUUCGUCUUUCCGUCAGUCCAACAGGUGCGUUCCAUUUCCAGCUUCUUAAAGUAGCAUUAAUGCACAUUUUUCUUUUAUCUUUUACUUGUUAUACGUAUUCAUGCUGUAACUUAUCCAGCUUAGCUCGUUAAUUUUCCGAAACUCUGUCCCGAAUUUGCUGUACCAGGAUUUUGCAUCCAAAAACGUAGUUCAUUAGCUGUUAUUUGCCAGGAUUUGUAAUUUUAUGACUUCUAUUUUCAAGCUUAGAGUGUAGAUUUAUAUUCUGAUAUUUCAAAUUCUAGCACGCAGAGGCGGAUUCAGGAUUUUAACAUAGUGGUGCUGAGUACUAGUUGCAAUUGGUGCAACUUCAUGGCAUUUGUGGAUAUUUUCUCAGUGCCAAGUGGCAACUGUACAUGCAUCUGUCUUUUAGCGUUUCAGAUUGUUUAUCCAAAGCCCUGUUAGGACCAUCAAUUAGUCAAGUGCUCGCCCUAAUAGUAGGAUAAGAAGGGCAAAGUAACGUUUUGCUUUUACUAGGUCUCGAAUAUGAAUAUUUCAGUGUCUUUUGCCCUAAUUUUUUUUAAAGGAAGCGAUAGAGCCCGUUUGGACAUAAGAAAUUUUUUCCUUUUUAAGAAUUUUUUUCACUUUCUCCCGAAGUUGGUUUGUUCAUAAAAUUUUAAGUUUUCACUUGAAGAUGCAACAACAACAACAACCCAUUAUAAUCCCACUUAGUGGGGUCUGGGGAGGGUAGUAUGUACACAGACCUUACCCCUACCUAGAGAGGCUGUUUCCAAAUAGACCCGGCAUCCUUCCCUCCAAGAACUUUCCACCUGCCUCUUGGGGAGACUCGAACUCACAACCUCUCGGUUGGAAGUUGGGGUUACUUACCAUGAGAGCAACCCCUCUUGUCUUUCACUUGAAGAUGCAUUUUGAAAUUUUUGGAAAAUUUUAAGAUCUCCAAAAAGUUGUUUUUCAAAACUUUCAGUUAGAUCACUCACAAAACUUCAAAAACAACCCAAAUUAUAUUCACAUCCAAACACAACUCUAAUUUUCAAAUACCAUUUUCACUUGAACUUUUGUUUCCCCACUUUUUUUGGAAUUUUACAAUUCUUACGCCCAAACACCCACUUAGAGAUGGUUGAAAUUGUGCUUCAAGGAAGGUUUUCAUAAGCAAACAACUAGCAUCUUUACUUAUCAGAUAGAGCCUGUCUGAUGGCCUAUAUUCUAUAUUGUGUACGCGAUCUUUAAGGUCACUUAAAAAAUAUAUGAAGAAACGAGUAAAAAAGAAGAGGAAAGUAUUUAACAUUUUACUCCAAUACACACUCAGUUAUGUAUGUUAUCUUGUUUUGCAUAUAAAAUCUCUUACUGUGUUUACUUAUUAUCCUACUAGUUCCUUUGAUAUGUUUAUAAUAAGAUAUCUGGGCAACAAAUAUGUAUAAUUUUCCUUACUUUCUUAAUCUUAAUUGCUGUACUAAUCAAUUCUGCUUGUUAUGGAGACAGAUUUUAAACUAUGGGCGAUAGUGAAACUGCGGUAGCUCAAACCUCAUCAGUCACUGACUAUAAAUCCACUGAUUAUUCGUCAAAAGUUCCUGAUGAUGCUGGCACCCAUGCUUCUUCCGAUGCUGGAAAUGCUGGGGAUUUGGCCACUCCAUGUCCAAAUGGCGCUGGGGAGUUAGCAUCUUCUAAUGUAGAAGCUAGAAACCUAUAUACUACUGAUGCAGUGUCUACCCAGCAAGAAGGUGCUACUGCUAUGACAUAUGAGGCCAGCCAGGAUCUUGCAGCUCUAGAAGAUGCAGCUGCAGGUUCAUCCCAAGCGGCUGUUUAUGACUCUUCUGCAAAUGGCAACAGCACUAUUGAAGCAAGAGACAUUGCUGAAAAUGGGAUUGCAUCAGAUGUUCAUGGAAAUUCCAAUAUGCAUCAGCCAGAAGAUGGCUUAGGUACAGGUUUUAGCUGUUCAGUGUCCAAUAUGCAUCAGCCAGAAGAUGCAUCUGCUGUUGCUACUUCUGCAAUUGAACUAAAUAAGUACUUAAUUAGAUGUUAAGGGACACUUGUCAUCAAUUUAAUUAGUCACGAGAAUCAUAAUACAAAUACAUGAUGCUGAUAUAAAUUUGUUUAGUAGAUAUGUUGUGUUAUUUCUUUUACAAAAGAAAAUCUCUGUAUAAAAUGUGAAGUUACGCAAGGAUGCCGCCUUAGCUUGGGUCUCUGUGAAUGUCUUUGGUGGUUGAUAGUUAUUUGUUUGUCUCGGCUGUCUUCUCAUAUUGUAACCAGCUGCUUUUCCCGGUCAGCUUACCUUUUACUCUUUCCUGCAGCAUCUUGUCUACUCGGUCAAUUUUGUUUUCUUUCCUCGUCUAAUCUUUCUGAAUUUUAAAUUUCCUUUAUCUCCCUUUGUCCUGAAUGUCAGUUGCAUCAGCGGUUUGUAAACUUACUGGCUAUACUUUCUGUUGACAGCUUUAUCUCCUGAAGAGGAAAGACUAUGGAGCAUAGUAAGGACAAAUUCUUUAGACUUCAAUGCCUGGACUUCCCUUAUUGAGGAGACGGAGAGGAUGUCAGAGGUACUUUAACUGACCUUCUGCUUAGGAAUUUGUCAUCUUGGUAUUCUUCAUUUCUCUUCUUCAGUUUUCUGUAUUGAGAUACGAGAGUUUCUCAUUAUUCUCAUUUUAUUUAAAGUUGCUACUCUCUCCCAUUGGUUGAAGUACCUAUCCGAAAAGGUGCUUUCUUUUCCCCGACAGCUGAAUUGACAGGGUACAAUUUUUUGCUAUAAAAAUAUAUCUGACUUUCAUGCUAAAGAGAAGGGUAGUGUGGCAGCAAAUUCCUCAAUUACAUACAUGUAAAUUUAUUGUCAAGCUAUAAAUUAAUCACCAUACUUAAAAUGAUUGAAUUCUGUUACACUCUAUGCGAUCUAUUACUGCAAGAUCUGCGUCAGAUAGGUGCUUUGUCGCAUAGCUCAUAUCUUUUAUGUUUAUAGUUAUUCUUUAGUUAGAUAAAUCUCUUGUUUCUUUGAUACAUGGAGCACUAUCAAGUUGGUGGUGUUCUAUUCCUCUCUUCCCAUCCAUGCCAUGUGUUAACCUACUUAGGAAAAAUUUUUAGUGGUGUCCAUGUUUUAAGCUGAAAUUACAUAUAUUUUAGAUUUUUUUAAUCUGGUUGUUGCCAGGAUUGACAAGAGGGGUUGCUCUGAUGGUAAGCAACCCCCACUCCCAACCAAGAGGUUGUGAGUUCGAGUCUCCCCAAGAGCAAGGUGGGAAGUUCUUGGAGGAAAGGAUGCCAGGGGUCUAUUUGGAAAUAGCCUCUCUNNNNNNNNNNNNNNNNNNNNNNNNNNNNNNNNNNNNNNNNNNNNNNNNNNNNNNNNNNNNNNNNNNNNNNNNGAAGGGAAGGAUGCCGGGGGUCUAUUUGGAAAUAGCCUCUCUACCCCAGGGUAGGGGUAAGGUCUGCGUACACACUACCCUCCCCUGACCCCACUAAGUGGGAUUAUACUGGGUUGUUGUUGUUGUUGCAUCUUCAAGUGAAAUAUGACUUUUCUUCAAUGUUCUGCCUAUCAUUUAAUACAUUUUAGUCUAGUUACUCCCAAAAAAAAAAGAAUCUAAUACAUUGUCAUUUAUGGACAGCUUUAAUUUCUUAAUCUUUAUAUUAAGCAAACAAGCUCAUCUAUAAUGUGGAUUGUGUAUUUGUCUUUUUUAGAGCAAACUUUCCAAGGUCCAAUUCUCUUGCUAAAAUCUGCUUGUGGCUGUCUAUAUUCUAUAUCUUGUGGACACAAAUUUUCUCAAUGAUUGAUUCAAUAUGCAUUGUAAAAAUGUGUAGGGCAACAUUUUGAAGAUUCAGAAGGUUUAUGAUGCAUUCUUGGCAGAAUUUCCUCUAUGUUACGGUUAUUGGAAGAAAUAUGCAGAUCAUGAGGCACGUCUUGGCUCUGUCGACAAAGUUGUGGAAGUCUAUGAGCGAGCUGUUCAAGGCGUGACAUAUUCGGUAGAUAUGUGGUUGCACUAUUGUGUUUUUGCUAGUCUAUGAACGAGCUGUUCAAGGCGUGACAUAUUCGGUAGAUAUGUGGUUGCACUAUUGUGUUUUUGCUAUAAGCACUUAUGGAGAUCCUGACACCAUUAGAAGGUAAUGUUGUUGAUGAUCUGAUUUGUUCUAGUUUUGCAUGGGAGAUCAUUGGCGCAAGAUGCUUAUAAUUUUUUUCUUUGUGAUCUUUAAAUGCUAUCUGACCUGAUUUCAGCACGUCUGCAACAGCUCUUAUUCAUCUACAUGGUGUAAGGUUUGUUUGGAUUGCACUUCAGGAUUGUAUAGCUGAUGUGCAAUCCAUGCGAUUCUAUGGCUACUGUAGCCAUAUGAAUUUUCUUCAGGAUUCAAUUAUAUUUUAUGGCCUUAUUCUCCCCAUUCUAUUUUCCCUGUCCUUAGGGCUGUGUAUAGUCCAUGUAGUUCUCCAUGAUAUUUUGCUGUUAUUAACCGUCGCACAUGAGGUGCAUCAAUAACCGCAUUGCUGCUGAGAAGAUCUCGUCCAGUAAGGCUAAGAUGCCCUCUCACUGCUCCUUUCACGGACAUUGUAAGAUUGUUUUGAGGAAGGUAAAUGCAGCAUAUUUGUGGGAGUGUCUGCUCUUUGAGUGAAUUAGUACUUUAGCUUGAACUCUUCUCAUGUACUGCAUUUUCUAGAGCCCAUGCAAAGGCAUGUGUGUGUUAUUAUUAAUCCUAUGGUACAUUGUUCUGUUGGUUUGUUAGGUUAUUUGAAAGAGGAUUAGUGUAUGUCGGAACAGACUACCUGUCUUUUCCACUUUGGGAUAAGUACCUGGAGUACGAAUACACACAGCACGCUUGGUCAAAUGUUGCUGCCAUAUACACACAGAUAUUGCAGAAUCCAAAUCAGCAGCUCGACCGCUAUUUUGAAGGGUGAUUAUCUUCCUCGAAGCUUAUUUUGCAUUUUCAGUAUUCAUUCAAGGCUCUCAGAUUCAGUGGUCGAACUUCUAGAUCAAUCUCUUACAGUACCAUUUGUUUUUCUGAUUGCCUUGUGAAUAGAAUUUACCUUUACUUGGUUUUAUAUAAACAAGCUCAAUCGUCGGCAGUACACUUAAGCGGAUAUCUUGUUUAAGUAUCUGGUUUUUGCAAGUUCCUUGUUUAUGCAUCUUGAUAUUGAUAGAAGAAAAGUAGCUGAUGUGAUUAUUGUUGCUUUCCUGGUGCAAUUGUAUCUACAGUUUUAAGGAGCUGGUGGCUAGCAGGCCUAUAUCAGAGCUACGAACUCCUGAAGAAGCUGCAGCUGCAGCAGAAGCUGGCAGUGAACAGAUUGAGGGAGAGGUUAAUCCUAGUUCUGAGCCUUCUAAACCUGUAAGUGCAAGCUUAAAAGAUGCCGAGGAGUUGGAGAAGUUUAUCGCCAUUAGAGAAGAGAUGUAUAAGAAAGCUAAAGAGUUCGAUUCUAAGAUCAUUGGUUUUGAAACUGCUAUAAGGAGGCCAUACUUUCAUGUGCGGCCUCUUAAUGUUGCAGAGCUUGAAAAUUGGAACAAUUAUCUUGACUUCAUAGAAGGAGGAGAUGACUUCAAUAAGGUAUUUUGGUUUGAUUAUUUGUGGAUUUCAAUAUCUCUUUAUUUAUAGCUUUAGUUGCCUUGUUAUACAUUUAUUUACAGUUAAAGUAAUAUCUGCUGCCUCAUAUGCUAGCCUUGUUAUACAUUUAUUUACAGUUAAAGUAAUAUCUGCUGCGUCAUAUGCUAUAUUGGCUUAACCAUCGGAUGAAGCAUCUUUUUAAACGGGAUAUUGAACUUGGACUAAAGCAUGGACCAUCCAUUUGCUUUCUAUAAGGCUAAGUACUUCAAACCCUCAUUUGUGAGUCCACGUUCUGGGUUCAUGAUCUGUUGUAUCGUGGAAUAUUUGUUUUGAAGUUCCAAUGUUAUGCAUGCAGGUGUGUUCUUAUCUUCCUAACCAUGUCAGGCUAGAAGGGCCCCCCUUUUGUUUUAGAGGGGCCCUGUUCCACCAGAGGAGUACUUCUUAGUCCUUUCAGCUUUUGGUGGAAUUUCCUUAUUGUGGUAGAACAUUAGUAUGUAUUAACCCAUUUGUUACUUGUGCAAGUCAGGUGGUCAAGCUGUAUGAGAGAUGUCUGAUUGCUUGUGCCAAUUAUCCUGAAUUUUGGAUUCGGUAUGUUUCGUGUAUGGAAACAAGCGGAAGUUUGGAUCUUGCCGAUAAUGCCCUUGCUCGUGCCACUCAAGUCUUUGUCAAGGUAAAAUCUCAUUAACUUUUUUUUGUGGGAUUUCCCCUUUGUGACUAUAUUUAGUCUGUUCAACAUGACAUUCUCUUUGCAUUUAGGGGGCCAUUUUUUGAAUCGUAUGCUUAAUUACUAUCUUGAAAUUUGAAAAAUUAUUCAACUCUUUGCUUGUCCGGAUGAGUUGUUUAGUGGUUAUUAACUUUUCAUCUCAAAAUCUAAUAUUUAUAGAUUUUGUGAGAUUUCUAUUCCCAUGUCAAGAUGAUAGCUGGCUUUUCUAUUGAAUGGGAUCAGUAUUCCCCCCUCCAUAUUUUAAAUAUAAGAAAUAUCUUGGCAUAGAAGGUUGAACCCUGAGGAAAACCCAACGGCUGCGAUAAUAUAAAUUGAGUGCAAUGAUGGACAGAAAUGGUUGAUAGUUUUCCAUGGAAGGUUGAACUCUGUUUUGCACCCUGUGAACUUGCUACUUAUUUGUCUGCCAUCUUGCAAACUUAGCAUUGAGAUAACUCUUCCAUAUAUUUUCUAGCCUGGAUUGUAGAUUGCUCCACCUGAAUAAUCUAAAUCCGGGGGCUGGUAAUGCUAAUGCCAGUGUUUUGCUGGUCAUCCGCGGAUAAGCUUGCUUGUUUGUCUGUCAUCCUGUAGUCUCAGCACGGAAAUUGCUCUUUAGUAGAUUUCUUAGCAUCGGAGAGGGGAUUAUGGGUUUGGGCAUUCAAGUUAAUGUGCGCUGGUAAUUCUAGUUGACCAGCAAGGUUGUAGGCAAUUCUCUCACUUGGAUAACUUAGACAAACGUACAAUGUUCCUACUGGGAUUUAUGAAGAUAAUUUCAACAAGUUAAAGUGCUAUUUAUUUUAAUUCUUUUAGUUCUUUCACAAAUUUACAUUCUCUUGCAAAAAGUUUUUUGAAGUGUUAAAGUAUUGAAUUCAAGUCAGAUCUGAAGUCGUUACUGAUAAUUUCUUGCUGGUUUCUAAGGAUAUAUCACUCUUCAUGCAAUAUAUGACCCUCAAAGACUUUUGAGGUUAUAAUAGUGUGAUUUUUCUUUGCCAAGAGUUUAUACUUGAAAGGGUGGAAGUGAGUUGCAUGAGGAUGCCCUUGAAGUAUUGUUGGAAAUUAAUUUAUCGUGCCUAGAGCUGUUACUUGCUUGAAUAGUUGCCUUUCAAAUUUCAAUCCUACUAUAUUUAACAAUUGCUCUCAUUUGUCCACCUUUAACAGAGACAGCCAGAGAUUCACCUUUUUGCUGCUCGAUUGCGGGAGCAACGUGGUGAUAUUCCUGGUGCUCAGGCUGCGUAUCAACUUGUGCAUGCUGAAAUAUCACCUGGACUUGUAGAAGCAAUAAUCAAGCAUGCGAACAUGGAACGUCGACUUGUAAGAUUGUUUCAUGACCUACUAAGGUUUCAGGAUUAUAUUUGAUUUUUGUUAACUUAUCUAAUGGAUCGUCUUCUUCUUGCUUCUUUGAAGGGGAAUCUUGAGGAUGCCUGUUCAGUAUACGAACAAGCUAUCGCCAUUGAAAAAGGAAAGGAGCACUCGCAGAGUUUGCCAUUAUUGCUUGCACAGUACUCUCGGUUUUUGUACAUGGUAUAGUUCUUUUGUGUCUUGUGUUAUCCAGCUUUUACAUCUUUGACUCAAGUAAUUGACUAUUGCCUUUUCCAUCUUGUUAUAGUGUGGUCUCCCAAUUGUGGUGAUCAAUUAUAGAUAUUGUUUUGCUUCGUUGUUGUUUAUGGAAAUUGUAAUUUAAUAUUCUCAUCUGUGAAUGGGCUUCCCAACAUUGUUUAGUAUAGUCUCGGAAUGAUUCUCUGUUUUAUGGACGUGCAUCAUCAUAAUUUAUGUUGCAAUCAUACACCAACAUAUUGUAAGACAUAGUUAUUUAGACCAUGGCUUGUCACAAUAUUCCACAUAAUCAUCUGAUUCUCAAUCACUUUAGUUAUUUGUUCAUGUGUACACACUCUUCACUGCCCUUGUGGAAGGCUUUUCAGUAGGAAGAGAAAGCAGAAUUAGUGUAAGUGAGUGGAGAGUCAUUAAGGACUUUGACUUGAUCCCCUGAAUUGUUGGGUGUUGAUAAUGCGGAAACAUCUUUUUUUGCUUCGAGUUCCUCAUGAUUAGAGCCUUCAUUGAAAUUUAUGUAUUUGUCCUCCUUUGGCUCACUAUCACAAAAUCUCUGUUGAAAGGUUUGUGGGAAGGUGGAAAAAGCUCGGGAAAUUCUUGAUCAAGCAGUUGAGAAUGUCCAGUUGUCAAAACCACUUCCGGAGGUCCGACUCUCUCUCUCUCUCUCUCUCUCACACACACACACACACACACACAUCCAAAGGCAUAAUGAGUGGAGGAAUUUAUGUUUUCUUAUUGACAUGCUGUUUUCAUUUAAAAAAAUACAGGCACUGAUCCAUUUAGAAUCCAUUCAGUCGCUACCAAAGAGAAUAGAUUUGCUGGAUUCAUUGGUUGAUAAGUUCAUAGUUCCAUCCCCUGAGAACCCUAGCGUUGCAAGUGUUGAUGAAAGAGAGGAGUUAUCAAGCAUUUUCUUGGAGGUAUGAACUAUUAGAUUUGAGUACUUGACAGAGGUUUGGGACUUUGAUGCUCUCAAUGUUAGAACAAAUAUGCCUUGCGCUGUUCUCGUGGGAACCCUUACGUUUGGAGGUAUGAACUGUUAGAUUUGGGUACUUGACAGAGGUUUGGGACUGUGAUGCUCUCAAUACAACAACAACCCAGUAUAAUCCCACUUAGUGUGGGGUCUGGGGAGGGUAGUAUGUACGCAGACCUUACCCUUACCCUUGGGUAGAGAGGCUGUNNNNNNNNNNNNNNNNNNNNNNNNNNNNNNNNNNNNNNNNNNNNNNNNNNNNNNNNNNNNNNNNNNNNNNNNNNNNNNNNNNNNNNNNNNNNNNNNNNNNNNNNNNNNNNNNNNNNNNNNNNNNNNNNNNNNNNNNNNNNNNNNNNNNNNNNNNNNNNNNNNNNNNNNNNNNNNNNNNNNNNNNNNNNNNNNNNNNNNNNNNNNNNNNNNNNNNNNNNNNNNNNNUUCCCUUUUCUUUGAUCAAUAAAAUGUGUUCCUUUGUGUGAUGCUCUCAAUGUUGGAACAAAUAUGCCUUGCGCUGUUCUCGUGGGAACCUUAUGUUAUUUGAAGUUAUGAUCUUGACCAGAUAUGCUUUGAAAUGUGUUCAGUUAUAUAUAUCAUAUGCUUUUAGCACAAGGCUGUUGUCUGUAUAUUCCAAGAUGGCGCUACCAUAUUCCUGAUACCUGAAUUCCCUCUUUUUGAUACAAACUGACUGAACUGUAAUAAUUGAACAAGGUGGACAUACUUUAUUAAGCUGAUACCCCAUCCCUGAACUAGUAUUCCUGUCAGAUAUGCACUUGGAUAGUUGGCAUAUAUCUUUAGGUACUUUUCCAAGUUUGCUAUACUGUGAAGAUAAGAAAACUGGUAAAAUGGAGUUAAAAUUGUUGUCCAAAUUAGAAAGGGACACUGUUUUCGGUCCUCCAAGAAAGAAAAAGAGGUCACUAUUUUUGGGAUGUAGGAAGUAGAAAAACAUAUUAAGUUCAGUGGGGAGUUUGUUUAUCAUGUUGCUCUGUUGUUUAAAACACGACAUGGCACUCCACGACAUGGUUUAAAUUCGAGUAUGGACUUGAUUUCUUGAAAUUUCCACUUUGUGUUUGAAUGAUUGGUUGUUUCACUAACCAGACUACUAUAUCAUGGUAGUUUAGUCAAAUCAUAUGACGCUUCAAAUUUGAAUAAUAUCCGAAUCUCUUAGCGAUGAUAUGGGGUGUCCGGAGAGAAAUUUGUUUUAUUGGCAAUCAUAUCUGAUUCUUGAAGCGUAAACACUUCAGAAUGUCUUGGAGAUGCAAUAGGGAUUCUAUAAGGAGAUUUCUGAUUCUCGAGCUUUCACAAUCUUGUUUUAUAGACCUUAAAGUGUAUACAUUUUGGAAUGUCUGGUGCAAUAGGGAGUCUGGAUGGAGAUUUUUUUACUGGGAGUUAUUUCUGAUUCGUGAGCCUUCACAUCUUUUGAUUUUUUAAAGACUCUGAAGUGUAAACAUGUUGAAACAUUUUGUGGGUGCAAGGGGAGUUUACAGAGGGAUUUGUUUUCUUUGGAAUUAUUUCUGACUCUUGUGAGCCUUCACAAAAUUUAUAUAGCUUUUGAGUGUCUUAACUGAUUAUCCUUUGUGCUAUUUGUAUAUAUAAUCCAUCUGUUGCUGCUUUGUGCUAUUUGUAUAUUAUUAUCCGUCUGUGGGGGCUUCACUGUUUGAUGCUUUUGCCGAAAUGUUCUGAGACCGAGAAAGUGUCUUCAGUUUCUAGAUCUUUUCGGAGAUGCAGCAUCAAUUAAGAAGGCUGAUGAUCGGCAUGCUAAGCUCUUCUUACGCCAUAGAACCUCUUCAGAUUCAAAGAAACGUCAGGCUGACGAUUAUUUAGUUUCUGAGAAGACAAAGCUGGCAAACUCUGCUGUUGCAGCAUCUAACCCCUCAGUGGCUGGUGCAUUUCCUGGAGCGCAAAAUCAAUGGCCUGCAGGUUAUGGUGUACAAGGUCAAACCUGGCCACAGGCUGCACAAGCCCAACCACAGCAGUGGAAUCCUGGUUAUGCGCAGCAGGUAAUGUUAUGGCAAAUAGUUAACAGUUGCACUAAAGAUGGGUUGCCCCCUUGUUCAGAUCUCUCUCCCUAGAGUGCGGAUCUGGAUAUGCUUCCCAGAGCAAUGCAACAUGGAACCGUUAUAUAUGUGUUGCGCAUACUUUAACCAACAUGUUGAUUUAGGUUAAACUGGAACCUCAUCAUGGAGUUAAAGAAGUAAUUUUUGUAUUUAAAUGGAUUUUGGAUGCUCCUUUCCUUUUUCCUCUGAAUCAGAUUUCUGUGAACAUAUAGCUUUUCUUAAGCAAAUGUUUUAUCACUCUCCAUCGCUCAGUUUCUUGUUAUAUAUUUUCUUUUUCUCCACCCCUCGGGUCCAUGGAGGUCUUCCUUUACGCAUGUAUUUCAGUUCUCCCUUUGGUAAAGCUUGAGAGUGUUGUAUGUCCAUGUGUGUGAAUAUUCAUGUUUUGCUCAGUCCAUAUAUUCUUUCAGAUUAUCAAGAUUAUUCGUGGAAUAACUUUUCUAGAAUAUAUAUACAGUUCAAAGCGGCUAUGUGAUCAGUGGCUUAGUUUUCUAUUUUUGUGUUUGUUGAACUUUAGGCAGCAUAUGGUGCUUACAGCAGUUACGGAGCCAGCUAUGCACCUCCUCAAGGGCCUGCACCAGUGCCCUCGAGUGCUGGUUAUGGUGCUUAUCCUUCAACAUACCCGGCUCAGGUAAGUGGAGCGCCUUUUAUAUAUCAGCAUUUUCAUUGCUUGUCUUUCAUAUAUUACCAACUUGCAUUAUGGUUUCAGCAGGGAUACUUUAUUAACCAGUUCUAUAGUUUCGCUUGUCUUGCAUGCAUUACCAACUUGCAUUAUGGUUUCAGCAGGGAUACAUUAACCAGUUCUAUAGUUUUCAUGGUCACCUUUUUUUGGGUUAAAUAUUGUUUUCAUGCCCUUGUAUGCUAAGAAUGGUUGGUGAGAAUAAAAUUUGAUGCCCUCUAAGUUACUUAGUUUUAAGUCUGAAAAUGGUGGUGAGGCCACAAGGCUUGCUAAAUUGUAGCAUUUCAGUGUUCAAAAUUGAAUCGUUUAUUUUCCUUCUUUUAUCCUGAAAAUGUAACUAUCAAGAAGUAGUUCAUCCAUUCAUCUCUUUUAUGUUGAUUUCAUCGGUGAAAAUUACUAGGGCAUUAGACUUAGUUCUAGAAUCCAGAGUAAGACUAGAAAUUGGUGGCCUGCUGCCGGUAUCUCUUGUACAAUUAAAUAUAUGUUGGAGAAAUUGCACUUCAGACUUAAUUCACGGUUAACCCUUGUGUUUGGAAUGGUGUGACAAUGAACCUUUAUCCUCACAGAAACACACAAGUCCAAGAUCACCAAAUUGGUACAUCCAAUGGUCUAGUGUGCUUUGGGAAUACACUGUUAUUCCUGUCAAAUAUUGUUGAUAGCUCAUGUGCUUUAGUGAAAGGGCCCUCCACCUCCAACUGCGACGUUGGGGUUUGAGUCAACAAGGGAGCAAAUUAGGAAAGCCACUCUGUCCGACUCUUGUCUUUGUGAGGGUGGGGGUUAUGUACCAAUUGUUCAUUGUAAACAAUGCAUAUGAUUGUAGUGAUAGAUGAAAACGUGAUUACUUCUUAUGGUAUAUUUCUCAUACACUCAUUUUUGAUGAAGAUCUUUCCUUAGACCAGUCCAUUGGUUGGACAAUUGGUGGUUCUUGAGAAAGAUAUUGUGCAGAUAAGAACUUGUGGUUGUUGAAUUUGGCUAUUUUUGCAUUUGGUGAUUUGAUAUCUAUUUUUAGCUCCUUAAAUCUCUAUUUAGUGAUAUCUUCUUUUAAAGGUAAUGAUUGUUUUUGUUCUGCCUAGACAUUUGAUUUACAAUGUCAGAUUUGGAAUUUCUCCCGACUCUGCUUGAGGUAUUCAGCUUUUAGUAUAUGCACUUUGUGCUGUUUGUUUGUUGAAUCGGAAGAAUUGGUAUGAAAAAAUAGUGCUAAUCUGCUCUCAACAGUGAGAUGAAAUUUUAUUCAGUACAAGAUUUCACUCCCUAGUGUAAAAGGAGAGACUGGAGUGAGUACUGUCGAAAUGAUAACAGUAUAGAAGUAUGAUAAUUAAGAGUGCUCCUAGAGUUUUUCGUACUCCUCACCCGGGGUUGGGUGAGGCUAGGUAGGGCUAUCCAUAGAUGAUUUGUGUAUUGGAUUGUGUCUCCCUUAUGGUAGUUUUUGGGUGAGGCUAGGUAGGGCUAUCCGUAGAUGAUUUGUGUAUUGGAUUGUGUCUCCCUUAUGGUAGUUAUUUAUGGUACUUACUGUAUGCUAUUAUUUGCAUGCUAUUUUAUUUAUGGUUCUUAUGUUUAGAUAAUUAUUUACGCUAUUUCUGUUGNNNNNNNNNNNNNNNNNNNNNNNNNNNNNNNNNNNNNNNNNNNNNNNNNNNNNNNNNNNNNNNNNNNNNNNNNNNNNNNNNNNNNNNNNNNNNNNNNNNNNNNNNNNNNNNNNNNNNNNNNNNNNNNNNNNNNNNNNNNNAGCCUCUCUGCCCUUUCGGGUAGGGGUAAGGCUUGUCUACAUAUUACCCUCUCCAGACCCCACUUUGUGGGACUAUACUGGGUAGUUGUUGUUGUUAUUUGGCAUGCGAAUAUUAUUUCGUGUUGUCAAUAUGGGUUUCUAGUCAACUGUUAGCUAAUGAAGCCUUGUUGUAGUGGCAAGCCACAGCCCCAACAAUAUUAAGGUCUCAAUGGAAAGUCUUUCCCAAAAGUAGAAUAGUUGUCACAUUUGUCCUUAUUUCUCUCCAAUCUGCGGUGACUAUGUAAUUUGGAAUUCCUUCUGACUAUAUCUAGUCAUAAUUAUCCUUUGUAACAGAUGACUUAUAGUGCGCAAGGAAUCUUCAUGUGAAUAUCAUGCACAUCUUUUUAAUAGCUUUCAAUAAAUUCUUUAUUAUCUCAAUCAUUAAGAUAUUUUACCUUGGUAUGAGAAUAAACAAAUUUAAUUUGGGAUUGAGCAUAAUGAUUGUCAAUUAUUCUAUGAGAAUACUUGAAUUUUUAUUUGCUCACUGCAAUGAAAUUCUCUCAGUUAGUUGAAUCUUUAGAAUUACUAUUAUAAGUUCCACAAGUACAAGUUGUCCAUCAAUUCCAGUUAAGUGUGUUGGUAGGUAGAUUUGGUUGUUGUAUAAGCUUCUCAAAUUUCGUGUUGCGUUGGGGGAAAUUUAGUCCAGUGGACCAAAAUUGUAGCAGAGCGUGAAAUUUACUGAAUAUCUGCUUAGAAAUUAAUCUAUUAUGUAAAUUGGACUCCUAUGAAGUUCCCUACUUCGGAACAUUUCAGCUACAUAGCUGCUGCUAUACUGAACCGGAGUUUUUCUUUCUUUCUGGAGUCCGUGAUAUUUUUCUUGUAUUUGAACCUAUUUUUUCCCUUUUCUUUGAUCAAUAAAAUGUGUCCUUGUACAACCUCUUCUCUAGCCCCCCACCCUCCAAGGGUGCAGAAAGAGGUGUAGUAUGUUUCCAUAUUUGCUUUAUAUCGCCAUAUGUUUAUGCUACCCAAGGUGGAAGCCCUCUGGUGUUAGUUGUUUUUUGUUGCUAAGUGAACUCUGUUAUAACUGCCAGGCCUUCCCUCAGCAGAAUUAUGCACAGCCAGCCGCCGCUCCCACUUUGCCACCAGCACCACAAGCUACAACUGUUCCCCCUACAGCUUAUUAUGGCAGUUAUUAUUGAGAUGGCAAAAACUUCCACAUCAAUUUUUUGCUGGAUAUAGUUUGUAUCUUCCCGUCAACGGCCAGAAUACAUUGCAAUACCCUGAGUUCUUCCACAUGGUUGUAUUUCGAGUGAAUGAGCUGCAGGAUAGGAAAUUGAGCAAUCUAGUGAUGUCACACCUUAGGCUGAUGGGUAAUGUUGGAAAUCCGUUGUUUAUCUUCUGUUGGCUUUUUUCUAGCUAAUGUACCAUACUUUUUUGUUUUGACUAAGUGAUGUCACACCUUAGUCUGAUGGGCAAUGUUGGAAAUCCAUUGUUUAUCUUCUGUUGGCUUUUUUCUAGCUAAUGUACCAUACUUUUUAGUUUUGACAUGUUAGUUACAGGAAAAUAUGUUGCAAAAUGUUAUGUUUCCCUAUUCCAUCUCCGCCGUCUUUGUAGUAUUAUUUCUGUAUUUCCAGGGUGCAAGGAUUUUCUGCUACCCGGAGGCUGAACAUCAGUUGGAAUUCUGAGUUCUUAUUUUCAGAGGUCUUCAUUUACGGGUAUCAUGAAAAGUUGGCUCAUAAUACCUGUUAAGCAGAUGUUUCUUGCUGGUGUGGAGAGCCAUGUUGCGUUCACCGUUUGCCCUUUGUACUUGUCGGGUAGCAGCUCUAACAUAAUCGUACUGGGUAAAUUUUAAGUUCAGGCGCGGAAAAAAGGAAAAAACAG
This 41483-nucleotide long non-coding RNA is filed under the name Nicotiana benthamiana. RNAcentral's name for it is "long non-coding RNA (NBEN_LNC005172)". The record is from RNAcentral. Lineage: Eukaryota; Viridiplantae; Streptophyta; Magnoliopsida; Solanales; Solanaceae.